GCUUAGCUGUAAACAUUGAGUGAUUUUUUACCUUAUCAUUCCGCCUGGGUACUACGAGCACUAGCUUAAAACCCAAAGGACUUGGCGGUGCUUUAUACCCACCUAAAGGAGCCUGUUCUAGAACCGAUACCCCACGUUUAACCUCACCCUCUCUGGUUCUUCCCGCCUAUAUACCGCCGUCGUCAGCUUACCCUGUGAAGGUAAAGAAGUUAGCAUAAUCAGUUCUACUAAAAACGUCAGGUCGAGGUGUAGCAUAUGAGAGGGGAAGAAAUGGGCUACAUUCCUUAUACUAAGGCAACACGGACAAUAUUAUGAAAUAAAUAUUAGAAGGAGGAUUUAGCAGUAAGCAGCAAAUAGAGAGUCCUGCUGAAACUGGCCCUAAAGCGCGC
Molecule: ribosomal RNA, 389 nt
Filed under: Oryzias minutillus (dwarf medaka)
Lineage: Eukaryota; Metazoa; Chordata; Actinopteri; Beloniformes; Adrianichthyidae
Description: partial 12S ribosomal RNA
Rfam family: Bacterial small subunit ribosomal RNA
Source: RNAcentral